GAUGAACGCUAGCGAUAGGCCUAACACAUGCAAGUCGAGGGGCAUCACAUGAAGUAGCAAUACGGAUGGUGGCGACCGGCGCACGGGUGAGUAACACGUAUGCAACCUGCCUUCAACAAGGGGAUAACCCGUUGAAAGACGGACUAAUACCCUAUAACACAGGGGUCCCGCAUGGGAAUAUUUGUUAAAGGACAACCGGUUGAAGAUGGGCAUGCGUUCCAUUAGCUAGUUGGCGGGGUAACGGCCCACCAAGGCAACGAUGGAUAGGGGGAACUGAGAGGUUUAUCCCCCACACUGGUACUGAGACACGGACCAGACUCCUACGGGAGGCAGCAGUGAGGAAUAUUGGUCAAUGGACGCAAGUCUGAACCAGCCACGUCGCGUGAAGGAAGACGGCCCUACGGGUUGUAAACUUCUUUUAUACGGGAAUAAAGUGCCCCACGCGUAGGGUUUUGCAUGUACCGUAUGAAUAGGAUCGGCUAACUCCGUG
Molecule: ribosomal RNA, 490 nt
Filed under: uncultured bacterium
Lineage: Bacteria
Description: bacterial SSU rRNA
Rfam family: Bacterial small subunit ribosomal RNA
Source: RNAcentral